AACGAACGCUGGCGGCAUGCCUAACACAUGCAAGUCGAACGAGACCUUCGGGUCUAGUGGCGCACGGGUGCGUAACGCGUGGGAACCUGCCCUUAGGUUCGAAAUAACUCCCCGAAAGGGGUGCUAAUACCGGAUAAUGUCUUCGGACCAAAGAUUUAUCGCCUUUGGAUGGGCCCGCGUUGGAUUAGCUAGUUGGUAGGGUAAAAGCCUACCAAGGCGACGAUCCAUAGCUGGUCUGAGAGGAUGAUCAGCCACACUGGGACUGAGACACGGCCCAGAAUCCUACGGGAGGCAGCAGUGGGGAAUAUUGGACAAUGGGCGAAAGCCUGAUCCAGCAAGGCCGCGUGAGUGAUGAAGGCCUUAGGGUUGUAAAGCUCUUUUACCCGGGAUGAUAAUGACAGGACCGGGAGAAUAAGCUCCGGCUAACUCCGUG
RNAcentral lists this ribosomal RNA (433 nucleotides) under uncultured bacterium. Its description in RNAcentral is "partial 16S ribosomal RNA". It matches the Rfam family "Bacterial small subunit ribosomal RNA", at positions 29 to 507 of the family's 1533-position model. The record is from RNAcentral.